GAUGAACGCUGGCGGCGUGCCUAAUACAUGCAGGUCGAGCGAACAGAUGAGGAGCUUGCUCCUCUGACGUUAGCGGCGGACGGGUGAGUAACACGUGGAUAACCUACCUAUAAGACUGGGAUAACUUCGGGAAACCGGAGCUAAUACCGGAUAAUAUAUUGAACCGCAUGGUUCAAUAGUGAAAGACGGUUUUGCUGUCACUUAUAGAUGGAUCCGCGCCGCAUUAGCUAGUUGGUAAGGUAACGGCUUACCAAGGCAACGAUGCGUAGCCGACCUGAGAGGGUGAUCGGCCACACUGGAACUGAGACACGGUCCAGACUCCUACGGGAGGCAGCAGUAGGGAAUCUUCCGCAAUGGGCGAAAGCCUGACGGAGCAACGCCGCGUGAGUGAUGAAGGUCUUCGGAUCGUAAAACUCUGUUAUUAGGGAAGAACAAAUGUGUAAGUAACUAUGCACGUCUUGACGGUACCUAACCAGAAAGCCACGGCUAACUACGUG
This 497-nucleotide ribosomal RNA is filed under the name uncultured bacterium. Its description in RNAcentral is "partial 16S ribosomal RNA". It matches the Rfam family "Bacterial small subunit ribosomal RNA", at positions 28 to 507 of the family's 1533-position model. The record is from RNAcentral.